GGGGACCGUCCCCACCUGGGUGACCUCAUUUUGGGACCUUCUCCAAUUUGGGGACCCCCCCAUUUUAGGGACCCCCCCCAUUUUGGGGACCCCACCCCAAUUUUGGGGACCCCCACCCCAAUUUGGGAUCUCCAUUUUGGGGACCAUCCCCACCUUGGUGACCUCCAUUUUGGGACAUUCUCCAAUUUUGGGGACCCCCCCAAUUUUGGGGACCCCACCCCAAUUUUGGGGACCCCACCCCAAUUUGGGACCCCCAUUUUGGGGACCGUCCCCACCUUGGUGACCCCAUUUUGGGACCUUCUCCAAUUUUGGGAACCACCCCAUUUUGGGGACCCCACCCCAAUUUUGGGGAUCCCCACCCCAAUUUUGGGGAUCCCCACCCCAAUUUGGGACCCCCAUUUUGGGGACCAUCCCCACCUUGGUGACCUCGUUUUGGGACUUUCUCCAAUUUUGGGGACCCCACCCGAAUUUGAGGAUCCCCACCCCAAUUUUGGGGAUCCCCUCCAUGGGACCCCCAUUUUGGGGACCCCACCCCAAUUUUGGGGACCCCACCCCAAUUUGGGACCCCUAUUUUGGGGACCAUCCCCACCUUGGUGACCUCAUUUUAGGGACCUUCUCCAAUUCUGGGGACCCCGAUUUUGGGGACCCCCAUUUAGGGGACCCCUCCCAUUUUGGGGACCCCCCCAAUUUUGGGGAUUCCCCCAAUUUUGGGGACCCUCCCACCUUGGUGACCUCCUCCAUUUUGGGGACCUUCUCCACUUUGGGGACCCCCUCCCAUUUUGGGGACCCCCCAUUUUGGUGACCUCACCCAUGGGACCCCCAUUUUGGAGACCUCCAUUUUGGGGACCCCCACCCCAAUUUGGGGAUUCUGACCUGAAUUUGGGGAUUCCCCCCAUUUUGGUGACCCCAUGUUGGUGACCCCAUUUUGGGGACCUUCACCAUUUUGGGGACCCCCUCCCAUUUUGGGGACCCCCUCCAUGGGACCACCCACGGGACCCCCCAACGUUGGGGACCUUCCCCACCUUGGUGCCCCCUACAUUUUGGGGACCUUCUCCAUUUUGGGGAUCCAUGGGACCACCCAUGGGAGCCCCACUUUGGGGACCAUCCCCACCUUUGGUGACCCCCCCCCAUUUUGGGGACCUUCUCCGAUUUGGGGACCCUCCCCACCUUGGUGACCCCAUUUUGGGGACCUCCCACCCAUGGGACCCCCCAACUUUGGGGACCCCACCCAAUUUUGGGGACCUUCUCCAUUUUGGGGACCCCUCCAUGGGACCCCCCCCCCCCCACUGUGGGGAUCUUCUCUGAUUUGGGGACCCCCCUGGCCUUGGGG
This 1330-nucleotide long non-coding RNA is filed under the name Chloebia gouldiae (Gouldian finch). RNAcentral describes it as "Erythrura gouldiae (Gouldian finch) lncRNA (ENSEGOG00005011546.1)". Lineage: Eukaryota; Metazoa; Chordata; Aves; Passeriformes; Passeridae. The record is from RNAcentral.